This 54-nucleotide transfer RNA is filed under the name Providencia alcalifaciens RIMD 1656011. RNAcentral describes it as "tRNA-Val". It matches the Rfam family "tRNA", at positions 1 to 51 of the family's 71-position model. From Rfam's summary of the family: Transfer RNA (tRNA) molecules are approximately 80 nucleotides in length. Their secondary structure includes four short double-helical elements and three loops (D, anti-codon, and T loops). Further hydrogen bonds mediate the characteristic L-shaped molecular structure. tRNAs have two regions of fundamental functional importance: the anti-codon, which is responsible for specific mRNA codon recognition, and the 3' end, to which the tRNAs corresponding amino acid is attached (by aminoacyl-tRNA synthetases). tRNAs cope with the degeneracy of the genetic code in two manners: having more than one tRNA (with a specific anti-codon) for a particular amino acid; and 'wobble' base-pairing, i.e. permitting non-standard base-pairing at the 3rd anti-codon position. Lineage: Bacteria; Pseudomonadati; Pseudomonadota; Gammaproteobacteria; Enterobacterales; Morganellaceae. The record is from RNAcentral.
GCGUCCGUAGCUCAGUUGGUUAGAGCACCACCUUGACAUGGUGGGGGUCGGUAG